RNAcentral lists this ribosomal RNA (477 nucleotides) under uncultured bacterium. Its description in RNAcentral is "partial 16S ribosomal RNA". It matches the Rfam family "Bacterial small subunit ribosomal RNA", at positions 28 to 507 of the family's 1533-position model. The record is from RNAcentral.
GAUUAACGCUGGCGGCGUGCAUAACACAUGCAAGUCGAACGAUGAAACUUAACUGAUUUCUUCGGAAUGAUUUUAAGUGGAUUAGUGGCGGACGGGUGAGUAACGCGUGAGUAACCUGCCUUGGAGAAGGGGAUAGCCUUUGGAAACGAAGAAUAAUACCCUAUGAUAUGAUACUAUCUCAUGAUAUUAUCAUCAAAGAUUUAUCGCUCUAAGAUGGACUUGCGUCUGAUUAGUUAGUUGGUGAGGUAACAGCUCACCAAGGCAGCGAUCAGUAGCCGGCUUGAGAGAGUGUACGGCCACAUUGGGACUGAGACACGGCCCAGACUCCUACGGGAGGCAGCAGUGGGGAAUUUUGCACAAUGGGGGAAACCCUGAUGCAGCGACGCCGCGUGAUUUAGAAGGCCUUCGGGUUGUAAAAAUCUUUUGUAUGGGAAGAAAAUGACAGUACCAUACGAAUAAGGACCGGCUAAUUACGUG